GACCUGAUGGAGUGCUUGCACUCUGAUGGUUAGCGGCGGACGGGUGAGUAACACGUAGGCAACCUGCCCGUAAGACCGGGAUAACUACCGGAAACGGUAGCUAAUACCGGAUAAUCAAGUCUUCCGCAUGGGAGACUUGGGAAAGGCGGAGCAAUCUGUCACUUACGGAUGGGCCUGCGGCGCAUUAGCUAGUUGGUGGGGUAACGGCUCACCAAGGCGACGAUGCGUAGCCGACCUGAGAGGGUGAACGGCCACACUGGGACUGAGACACGGCCCAG
This 278-nucleotide ribosomal RNA is filed under the name Paenibacillus macerans. RNAcentral describes it as "partial 16S rRNA". It matches the Rfam family "Bacterial small subunit ribosomal RNA", at positions 68 to 334 of the family's 1533-position model. The record is from RNAcentral. Lineage: Bacteria; Bacillati; Bacillota; Bacilli; Caryophanales; Paenibacillaceae.